CAGACACUCUUCGGAAAAAAAACGAAAAUCUUCAGAAAAUCAAUGGUUAGAUUGCCAAUAUCCCAUUGAUCUUGAGCCCCUCGGAAGAGACUGGUUCAGCCUUUCCUCUUGUCUGCCGUUUCAUCUGUUUCGCUUGUGUUGGCAUGCCUUUCUCUUGCACGUCCUGUCUACAGGCUCCACCUCAAUGUUUGGCAUGGGACUUGUCCCACGUUACUUCUGUCCAUUUCUGUUUGCCUACCUCCUCUGCUCUGCCAUUCCUGCUCUUUGCAAUGCAUGCCAUGCCCUCCCGAUAAGGACUGGCUUUGCUUCGGUCUUUCAGGCACUUGCCACAGUUUCAUGAAGAAGUUGGUGAGAUGCAAAGCAUUACGCUGCUAGGGAGAUGGUUUCGNCAAGUCAGAGGGGCCAUUCCUACACAAGUGAUAGCUCUUCAAAGACUUAAGGGAUGGGAGAUGGCCCCAAAAUGGCUCAGUUAAUGCCCUCUGCCCAUUGCCCUUUCAAAACCUAAGUAGUAUAUGCUAUCAUCCAUCGGUCCAGAGUGUGCCAGGGCGCCCCUCUUCCACUGGCCUUACCCCUGGGAACCAAGUAUUCCCAUGUAUAAACAUGUUACUUCAGUUUGCCUGCUGUUCUAAACAAAAGCCAGGCCUACCGGUUGUGUCAUUUUGUGUGUCUCAGAGUUCUGAAAUGUCAGUUCUCCCUGACAUAGGCUGUUGAAAAUUUAGAGCAAUCUUCAGUUCCACGUGUAACACAUCUUUUCGGUUCCUUUUGGGUUACUCGCUUUUAGAAUGAUUAGCUUUCCCCCCCAGAAGUUAUGUGAGAUGGCAUUAUUAGCCUUUUUUGUUUUGUAAGGGCCACACCCACCGGCACAGGGACAAUCCCAGGCUAGGGGCUGAAUGGGAGCUGUAGCCGCCGGCCUACACCACAGAAGCAGCAAGGCUGGUACCAGCCACCCCUGCGAACCACACACCACAGCCCAUGGCCACACCAGAGCCUUAACCCCCUGAGCGAGGGCCGGGAUGGAACCUGUGUCCUCCUGGAUACUACUCACAUUUUUUUCCACUGAAGCACUAAAAUUAUUCCUCCUUUUUUUUUUAAGUGAUAUAUUAUUUCUUAAAGCAUACAUAUAUAGUCAAUUUAUAACUUGUUAAACAUAUUUCUGCAUUAAUAAAUGCUUUCCUCUAUUGAACAGAGCGGAUAUUUAAUUGUGCCCACAGAAUGUUUCUAACAAUGCUAGAGAGAUUUCCGUCAACAGUGUUAUUGUACAAGAGAAAGUGUAUAUGACCUAAAGGCUUGAUUCCUUAUAUCAUAAGGACUGCUAAGUACUCUCUUUUAAUAAAAUGUCAGUUGUAUAGAUGAGCUAAUCUAUUGAAAUGUGCACACAAGUUCUGUAAGGGACAUCAGUAAAACCUUGAGUCAUAUUAUAGAAAAGAGAUGAAACAAGUGCUCAGUUUUCUAACACUUGCUCUUAUACUUGUACCAGUUGUUUUUCUUUACUAACUUAUUGCUGAAAAUUAUAUUUGCCCCAAAUACAUGAGUCAGCCUCAACAUCCAUUUUAUUCCAUUUCUUUACUCUUGGAUUAUGAAAGAUUGGUUUUCUGAGACAUUCUUCAUUCCCAUGUUAAGUUAACAGGAAUGGAAAGAAUGUGAUUAGAUCCAUGCUCCUUAGCUCUUUGACUUUCUUCAUUAGAUGAUAAACAUGAGGUAAUUUUGAAAGCACUAUUGAAAACUAAAUUAGUUUUUCUUACAGUUGUGUUAAAUAAAGAGAAAUAGAAACCAUAAGUCUUCCAAAGCCAUGACCCAGAUGUCAGUCAUCCCCUUUCUCAGCUGCUGUGGCAUCUUCCAAAAAGACCUUUUCAGGACUGAUACAUGUGUUUCACACUAUUAUAAAAAGAGUGCUUUCCCUGAAAAGCAUCUUGUUCAAUGUGGCAUAGUCAGAAACACUUUCAAAAUGAAAAAUCAAUUUCAAUCCACUCUACCAAAAUAAAGAAAAUCAUGGACUUGGAGAAGAGACUUGUGGCUGCCUGAUGGGAGGGGGAGGGAGUGGGAGGGAUCGGGAGCUUGGGCUUAUCAGACACAACUUAGAAUAGAUUUACAAGGAGAUCCUGCUGAAUAGCAUUGAGAACUUUGUCUAGAUACUCAUGUUGCAACAGAAGAAAGGGUGGGGGGAAAAAUGAAAUUGUAAUGUAUACAUGUGAGGAUAACCUGACCCCCUUGCUGUACAG
This 2219-nucleotide long non-coding RNA is filed under the name Sus scrofa (pig). RNAcentral's name for it is "lncRNA (ENSSSCG00060072326.1)". The record is from RNAcentral. Lineage: Eukaryota; Metazoa; Chordata; Mammalia; Artiodactyla; Suidae.